UCGUGACUGUUCUGAUUCCUGUUGCUGCAGCCAGCGUGGAUCCGGAUGCCGUGGCUACAGAGGCUUGUUACUUUCUCAUGCUGGAUCCCUCAAAUCCAAGAGCUACUUGGCAGUUUCCAAGGCAACCACCUGUGGAAUAAUUAAAAAGGAUGAAGUGUUAGCCUGCCAGAUAUAAGGAAUUCUUGCCUGGAGAGAGCAUUUCACUUUCAUCUGCCUUGAAGAACCAAAUGUGCUUCUGCCAGCAAAGUUAAGAAAAAGGAAAGGUGGCUGAGUUGUACAAGUGAACCAGGACAACCCAAAAUGUGACUCAAAGCAGGAGGGAGCAGAUGGCAGCAUCGUUAGCUGGUGGCCACAGCCUUCCCAGAUGAGUUUUGGAAUUUCCAUCAAAGUCGGGAUUAGGCUCAGGAUAUGCCGGUGGCACAGAGCACGCCGGGGGAGCGUGGAAGAAGAGGAAAUCAUUCAUAGCGACUCAUCUCGUGGUUGGGUGCUGAUCUCACAGAGGUGUCCUGCAUAUGCCAAAGGACGAACGUGUUGUUUGAGGGAAAAGCUGCUCAUAAAUCUGUGCAAACUGAAAGAUUCUGAAGACAAACCUGUCAGUAGUGAAUUGUCCCAGAAGCACAUGGAGAAAGUUGUACAUGGUGGAGGCUGUUUUUUCUGAGCUCAAUGAGAAAGUUGCCCUCAGUUCUUCUGAUCAUUAAAUCUAAGAAGGAUGGGGCAGUUCAAGAUCUGAAAAUGUCCUAAAACUUCCAGGACCUAAUUAGAAGGAGGCAUCUUGGAGCAGCACAAUAGCUCUCUCUGUGCAGUUCAUUUGUUUUUCCAAUUUAGAAAUGACAGUUUACAGCCCUAACGCGAGCGUGUUUCUCAUUAGCCGUGUUCUAGAAAGGCACAGAGUUAUUACAAGUUCUGAAAGAUGCUUUCUUCAGAAGUGCAAAUGAUAUUAAAUGGCAGAACUUACUCUCUGGAUAGUCAGAUGGAGAUGCUGUGGUCUGCACCCGUCCUAGGUCAUGUGGUAAAAGGCAGAGCCAUGCAGCUGGACCUCGGCUUCAAAUCCAUGGGUGUCAUGAAUGCAAUGCAUGGAAGAGAUGCUGCAGCACGAUUUAGCCUUGUCCUGGGAAGAUAAUGGCUGGGAAGUGUCACUGCUUUCCUUGUUUCACAGAUGGAUCUCAGGUUUCUUGGACUUUCUCAUGAAGAUUUUCUUGGAGAGGACUGUGUUAGCUGUGCUGCUGACAGAUGCCCUUGUGAGAACUGUCCCCACUAACUUGAUUUCUCUCCUUCAGCCAUCUAGAAGUUUGGUUCCUAGUCUAAGCUGGUUGGUUUUGUUGUCCUUGUGGUAAAGGAAGAGAGAACUGCAUCUUGGGAGAUGAUAAAGCUUUAGGAAAUGAUGUGAUUAGUCUUUUACAUGGUUUUCUGCACCCUGAAGGGAAAGAGUUUGAAAAUACUUUUUUACCUGUAAUCAGGACUCCACAGUUGGGUUCAUCUUGGAUGAUGGUGUAGGGUCUGGAACUGAAGUUCUUUGAGAAGCAGCUGAGGGAGCUGGGGGGGCUCAGCCUGGAGAAGAGGAGGCUCAGGGGGGACCUUCUUGCUUUCUACAAUUCCCUGACAGAAGGGGAGGAGGGUGGUGGGGUUGGUCUCUCCCAGGGAACCGGGGACAGGACAAGGGGAAAUGGCCUCAAGUUGCAUCAGGGGAGGCUCAGGUUGGAUAUUGGGAAAAAUUUCUUCACUGAAAGAAUCGUUAAGCACUGGAACAGGCUGCCCAGAGCAGUGGUGGAAUCACCAUCCCUGGAAGUUCUCAAAAAACGAGUGGACCUGGCACUUCAUGACAUGGUUUAGUGGGCAUAGGUGGCAUUAAGUCAGAGGUUGGACUUGAUCAUCUUAAAGGUCUUUUCCAACCUAAAUUAUUCUGUGGUUCUAAUCUACUAAAAUCAGCUUUCACAGGGCUUCCAGGAGCUGGUACAGAGCACAAAGGGUAAUGAACUGCAGGGGGGAAGAAUUAAGAUGCUUCACUCUUCUUGAAAAUACUGCAGUAAGGCAAAAUCUGGGGCUUCUGCAUUGCUGGAGGAAACAGUUUGGUUCUGCCCCCACUUCAAAGCAGCUUUACUGUAUUGCUAGAGCACCAGUGUUUUUGUGUGCCUGCGUGGAAGAUUCCCAGGCAGCUGUAUGUGCUCGGGGCAGAGCCUGGGGACACACGGGCGGGAGCACAGCUCGGUCCUGCUGCUUCCUGCCUGCUCUGCUCCACACAGGCACUUUCUGGACAGAAAAGCUGCACAGUAAAUCCAGUGCUGAUGUGGCCUGGCACAGUGACAGCUCUUCCAGUAACUGCCCGCUCUCGGAGGCCCAUCCUCCUCCGUUGGGUUGUUUUCCUUAAAACAGUGCUGUUCUACACCCGGAUGGGGCACACGGCCUCUCUGUGCCUCCCUCUGCCACCAGAAACUCCGUGGUGCCUUCUCUGCUGCUGCUUGGGGGUAAUUAGUUCC
This is a long non-coding RNA of Lepidothrix coronata (blue-crowned manakin), 2474 nucleotides long. RefSeq lists it as uncharacterized. The record is from RefSeq and is a predicted model, not a curated record. The transcript is spliced from 6 exons. Lineage: Eukaryota; Metazoa; Chordata; Aves; Passeriformes; Pipridae.